AUCUGCUCACACUUCCGGAGCACUUCAGAUCACCCCCAAUUUUUGGUGGGGGUUUGUGUUGCUUAGUCUUUAGUUUUCUAUCUUGUGUCUUGUGUACUAUAAUUUGUCUGUUUGUCUUUUUAUUUUUUAGCCAUGACGUUGCCAGUUUAUUUUCAAUCUAUGAGUUUGACUGUCCCUCUGGUAUCUUUUGUCCCCCUUUGACAAUAUAGUUUUUAUUGAUGCAUUUUGUCAAAUAAUCUAACCAAUUCUUUGGUAGCUGUCUUUUAUCAAAUACUGUUUUGUUCUGUUUUGGGUAACAUAAUACGUGUUAAUAUUCUUCAUCAAAAUAAAACAAUAAUGCCAAUAUCCCACUUAAGGCACUACUUUGGUUGCUUUUUUUUAUUAGCAUGAUAUAUUGCAGAUUGUAUCGUUACGUCGAAGGUACCCAUUCUGGCUUUUAACUUGACAGGAGAAGAAUAUGUACAAUGGACUUACUUUCAUU
RNAcentral lists this long non-coding RNA (481 nucleotides) under Mytilus galloprovincialis (Mediterranean mussel). Lineage: Eukaryota; Metazoa; Mollusca; Bivalvia; Mytilida; Mytilidae. The record is from RNAcentral.